AACGAACGCUGGCGGCGCGCUUAAGCAUGCAAGUCGAACGGCAAGGCAGGUGCUUGCACCUGCCCUAGAGUGGCGGACUGGUGAGUAACACGUGGGUGACAUGCCUUUAGUUGGGGAUAGCUACUAGAAAUAGUAGAUAAUACCGAAUGUGAUCAAUAUUUAUAGAUGAUGUUGAGGAAAGGAGCUAAGGCUUCGCUAAAAGAUUGGCCCGCGGCCCAUUAGCUAGUUGGUAGGGUAAAGGCUUACCAAGGCGAUGAUGGGUAUCCGGCCUGAGAGGGUGAUCGGACACAUUGGGACUGAGAUACGGCCCAGACUCCUACGGGAGGCAGCAGCUAAGAAUAUUCCACAAUGGACGAAAGUCUGAUGGAGCGACGCCGCGUGGAUGAUGAAGGCCCGAAAGGUUGUAAAAUCCUUUUACACUGGAGGAAUAAGCAGAGUAGGGAAUGACUCUGUGAUGACUGUACAGUUUGAAUAAGCAACGGCUAAUUACGUGCCAGCCGCUGC
RNAcentral lists this ribosomal RNA (504 nucleotides) under uncultured bacterium. RNAcentral describes it as "bacterial SSU rRNA". It matches the Rfam family "Bacterial small subunit ribosomal RNA", at positions 29 to 518 of the family's 1533-position model. The record is from RNAcentral.